Molecule: long non-coding RNA, 784 nt
Filed under: Homo sapiens (human)
Lineage: Eukaryota; Metazoa; Chordata; Mammalia; Primates; Hominidae
Description: non-protein coding TRAF3IP2-AS1:12
Source: RNAcentral
AUGCAGGAUUGGCAGGAGCUGCGAUGCUCACACUUGCCUCGCCGACCGCCAUUUCACAUCCAGCAGAGGAGGCGGGGGCAGCCGCUGAGACGGUUUUUCACAAGGUGCAUUUUAGUGGUUACCAGGUUGCCACGUAUUUGAAGUGGUGUGAGAGCUACUCGUUUGGAACCGUUGUGGAUUUUCAAAUAGGAAAAUCAAAAGGCCCAAAGAGACAGCUCACUGGAAAUGACCUCAUUCUUGAUGGCUGCUGCUAACUUAUGGUGAGAUGCUGGGUCCCUGCCCAAUACCACAUGGACAUCCAAUCAAUUUACCCAGGGACAAGUCCACUCAAGAGCAUCAUUUAGAAGAGGGAAAAGGCACUGGGGUUAUUUGUUUUUGGAGUAUGUGCUUAAGGAAAUCUAGAGUAUUCCCACGAGCAUUCUGCUGAGAUGAACAAUCAGAUGACCUCGUGUGAGAUUUGGAGGAGAGAAGGAAAUGGAGAGCAUGCGUCUGCCGCUUCUGUGGUUUCUGUCGGUAAGCACAGUGAUGAGGUGCUGAGUUUUCCCCAGAAGGCCUCCCAGUGUCCUAUUACCAGCUUCACAAGCGUCGAGGGCAGGGCAUGGGCAUCUAUUGUUCACCAGUGGAGAUCUAUCUGGCACAGAACCGAUCCAACCAUUGCAGUGGUCACAGCGGUGUUGGCUUUCUGAUUCUCAACCUUCCUGACCGCCAGAGGAGACAGCCUCUUUGGUGGCCCUGUUCUGUGGUAUUGUGCUAACCGGUGGUGGGACUAAAACUGUCUCUAUAA